Cervus elaphus (red deer) is the source of this 187-nucleotide long non-coding RNA. RefSeq lists it as uncharacterized. The record is from RefSeq and is a predicted model, not a curated record. The transcript has 3 exons. Lineage: Eukaryota; Metazoa; Chordata; Mammalia; Artiodactyla; Cervidae.
GAUUGAAUAGUUUGAUCUCCUCACUGUGCAAGCAACUCUGAAGAGUCUUUUCCAACACCACAGUUCAAAAGCAUCAAUUCUCUGGUGCUCAGCCUUCUUUAUGGUCCAACUCUCACAUCCAUAAAUUACUACUGGAAACACCAUCGCUUUGACUAGAUGAACCUUUGUUGGCAAAACAAUGUCUCUG